GUGCAGCAGGCGAGAAUACUUUACAAUGUGCGAAAGCACGAUAAGGGAACUCUGAGUGCCUCCUAAGGAGGCUGUUCAGGUGUCUAAAAAGCACCUGGAGUAAGGGCUGGGUAAGACCGGUGCCAGCCGCCGCGGUAACACCGGCAGCCCAGGUGGUAGCCACUUUUAUUGGGUCUAAAGCGUCCGUAGCCGGUUGAGUAAGUUCCUUGGGAAAUUUGGCUGCUCAACAGUCAAGCUUCCAGGGAAUACUGCUCGACUUGGGACUGGGAGAGGUCAGAGGUACUCCAGGGGUAGGGGUGAAGGUCCAGUUAAUCCCUGGGGGACCACCGGUAGCGAAGGCGUCUGACCAGACCAGGUCCGACGGUGAGGGACGAAGGC
RNAcentral lists this ribosomal RNA (378 nucleotides) under uncultured microorganism. Its description in RNAcentral is "bacterial SSU rRNA". It matches the Rfam family "Archaeal small subunit ribosomal RNA", at positions 330 to 711 of the family's 1478-position model. The record is from RNAcentral.